GCCUGGGUGGCUCAGUCGGUUGAGUGUCCGACUUCGGCUCAGGUAAUGAUCUCAUGGUCUGUGGGUUCAAGCCCCGCGUCGGGCU
This 85-nucleotide transfer RNA is filed under the name Felis catus (domestic cat). It matches the Rfam family "tRNA". Rfam says of the family: Transfer RNA (tRNA) molecules are approximately 80 nucleotides in length. Their secondary structure includes four short double-helical elements and three loops (D, anti-codon, and T loops). Further hydrogen bonds mediate the characteristic L-shaped molecular structure. tRNAs have two regions of fundamental functional importance: the anti-codon, which is responsible for specific mRNA codon recognition, and the 3' end, to which the tRNAs corresponding amino acid is attached (by aminoacyl-tRNA synthetases). tRNAs cope with the degeneracy of the genetic code in two manners: having more than one tRNA (with a specific anti-codon) for a particular amino acid; and 'wobble' base-pairing, i.e. permitting non-standard base-pairing at the 3rd anti-codon position. The record is from Rfam by way of RNAcentral. Lineage: Eukaryota; Metazoa; Chordata; Mammalia; Carnivora; Felidae.